AAUGAUCUGACAUCAAUUGGUUCUGCUCAAGGCAAACGUCUUGGCGGAGUAAAUGGGAACGUGACGGAUGGACCCCUGCCGGGCAUCUUCAUCACGGCCGACCCCGCGACUGUAGAGCGGUCAAGGGUUUUCCAUCCCGGAGGGUCCGGGAAAAGCCACUGGGAGGCGGACGCGUUCACCCCUGGGAAGGCGAGGAAAGCCCCAAGGUGCCCCGGCGCCUGACACCGCGAGCCAGGAAACCUGCCGGUUGAUGAAGGGCAUA
This 262-nucleotide non-coding RNA is filed under the name Rhizobium sp. RNAcentral also lists the same sequence under 1 other name. Lineage: Bacteria; Pseudomonadati; Pseudomonadota; Alphaproteobacteria; Hyphomicrobiales; Rhizobiaceae. The record is from RNAcentral.